UACAGAGGUGCCGAGCGUUAGGCGGAAUCACUGGGCUUAAAGCGUGUGUAGGCGGACGUCUAAGUACCUUGUGAAAUCCCACGGCUCACCCGUGGAACUGCUGGGUAUACUGGGCGUCUUGAGCCACCUAGGGGCAAGCGGAACAAAUGGUGGAGCGGUGAAAUGCGUAGAUAUCAUUUGGAACGCCAACGGUGAAAACAGCUGGCUGGGGGUGUGCUGACGCUGAGACACGAAAGCCAGGGGAGCGAACGGG
RNAcentral lists this ribosomal RNA (253 nucleotides) under uncultured bacterium. RNAcentral describes it as "partial 16S ribosomal RNA". It matches the Rfam family "Bacterial small subunit ribosomal RNA", at positions 524 to 776 of the family's 1533-position model. The record is from RNAcentral.